This 146-nucleotide non-coding RNA is filed under the name Homo sapiens (human). Lineage: Eukaryota; Metazoa; Chordata; Mammalia; Primates; Hominidae. The record is from Rfam by way of RNAcentral.
GCCAGGCAUGGUGGUGCAUGCCUGUAAUCCUAGCUACUUGGGAGGCUGAGGCAUGAGAAUCACUUGAACCCAGGAGGCGGAGGUUGCGGUGAGCUGAGAUCACCACUGCACUCCAGCCUGGGCGACAGAGUGAGACCCUGUCUCAA